Long non-coding RNA from Phyllostomus hastatus (greater spear-nosed bat), 2413 nucleotides. RefSeq lists it as uncharacterized. The transcript is spliced from 3 exons. The record is from RefSeq and is a predicted model, not a curated record. Lineage: Eukaryota; Metazoa; Chordata; Mammalia; Chiroptera; Phyllostomidae.
GCCUAGACAAUCCGCUAGUUUUUAGCUUUAGGUGGCGUAUUUCACACACCUCAAGUCUUAUUGAGAGGGCUUUGGAAACUACCAUAGAGGCUUUAGAGGCUCAUGAGGACCUCACCUCGCGCUCGUUCCCUGAGUAUACUAGAUUUAUUGCAGGCCACCGAUGUUGCACUUUUUACAAGUUGAAAGCAAGACUCUCCACCAGCAAAAAGAUUGCAACUGGCUUUAUUGCCGGUAGUCUGGAACCCAAUCUGCAAUAUCUCUGAGGCACAAAGCUGUCGGUUGCUGAAGUCUCUUAGGAUGGAUGUCAGUGACCUUAUUAUGUAUAUGGCAUGCUGAGCUUUCUCUCCAUGGCUUGGGGUUUGAUGUCAGUAGCUUCUGGGCAACUUUGAUCAAUGAACAUAAAUAAUGGGAAAAUUAAAGCCAAAAAAUGGUGAUCUGACCCCAGGAAUACAUACGGAGAAACAAGUUAAUAUUAUGAUGCUAAACUUCAACAUGGCCUUAUGGCCUUUGAUUCAGCCUUCAGAGGAUAAUGUAAAAUGGACCUCAAAACCACAUUUCAAGUGAACCCCAGGAAGGUCUACAUUCAGACUUCUAAGGAACCAUAUCUAGGCCUGUUUAACUGCUGUGUCUUCUUACCAGAAGUAAAGGAACUUGAGAUUUCAUUCUCAUUCCCUGGAUAUCUUCUCCAAUGGGAGGGACAAGCAACUUUUGGCAUAUGCCGACCUCUGGAACUUGCUGGAUGGUUUGCAUUCCUUCCCCAGAUAGUUGAAUAUUUUUCAUUUUUCCUGCAUUCAUUAUUUCUAUAAACAUGCAGUAGGUGCCUACUAUGUACCAGGCACAGAGCUGAGUUCUAGGGAAUCCUGAUGUCAACAAAAAUUCCUUGCUCUUAAAGGCUCUCAGACUAAUGGGGGAUAUAGUGAUAUACGAUAACAGAAUUAUAUUAACCAGUUAUUCCCUACCAACCAAUCACUCUUUUUUUAAUUAGAUUUUUUAAAAGCAAAGCAACAACACAGUUAAAAAAAUCAAAAUCAAAUAAGACCACAUGGUUUAUAAUAAAGCUUAAAAAGUAAGGCUUAUAACAAAAUGACUUUCAACUUUUCAGCUAUUUCUAUACAUGCUUAUCCCCACAAUGCUAAAUAACAAUGGCUAUCUAUUGAUUUUUAAAUCUUAGAUGUUUGUCUACUGAAUUCCUACUAGGUAGAUGAUAAUUUAAUUCUCAUAAGUACUACUACAAACCCUAUACUUCUCUUCCCCCAUUUUGUUGAUAGAGUCUUACUAAAAUUGUUAAUAUUAAUUAAUAAUUAUUAGCAAUUACAACUAAUAUUCACUAUUAUUAAGCUCACUUAAAUAUUAUUCAUCGCUAAACCACAUAAUGCACUAUGAUUGUGUCUUAUUUUCUCUGGAGUUAAAAAUUGAUUGGUUAUUUAUUUGCUUAGUUUUCUACAUAUUUAUCACCAGCUCAGCCUCCUGCAACCUGGGCUGGUAGAGGCUGUCCCAGGACAAUUCUUCACUUUAAACUCCCUUCAAAUUCAUUUUGGGAAUUUCGUUAGUCUUUUUCGUAUUUCCUAGAUGCCAUCCUUCCCUUGUCGUAGUUUUCUCUCCUGUUUAGGAGGAGCACGUUUUCUAAGAGCUGCCUGAGGAAGUGCAUGUGGGGUGUAAAUUUUUUUGAGAGCUUGCAUGUUUAAAAAUUUAAAAAUUGACUAAGUAUAUAAUUCUAGAUCAAGACUAUUUUUACCUUGAAAAUUUGAAGGCAUUAUUCUACUGUGUUCCAGAUUGAAAAGCCUGAUAAUCCUGAUUGCAUUUUGAUUCCUGGCUCUUUGUACUCUCUUUUCCUCUGUAGAAGACAUUAGGAGCUCUUUAUUCCUAGUGUCCUAAAACUUUUAAGGAUGGACCUGGGUGAGGUCAGUUUUUAUCCACUGUGCUGGCAUUUGGAGACAGUUUGAAUCAGAAAACUCAGCUCUGAAAAUUUUUUCUAAUAUUAUUUUAAAGUUAACUUUAUUGAGUUAUAAUUUAUAUACAACAAAAUGUAUUCAUUAAAUGACUAAACCAUAUACACCCAUAGAACAGCCACCAUAACCAAGCCAGGUUUUCAUCAUCCCAAAAGAUUCAUUCAUGGCCCUUUCCAAUCAGCCUCCCCUCUAGCCAUCAUUGAUCUGCUGUUACUAUAUACAUUUCUUUUUCAAGAUUUUCAUUUAAAUGGAAUCAUAUAGUAUAUACUCCUUUUUGUCUGGCUUAUUUUGCUCAGUAUAAUGUUUUGUUAAAUUUGUUCAUGCUGUUGUGUGCAUCAGUAGUUCAUUGCUUCUUAUUGCUGAGUGAUACUCCACAGUAUAAAUAGUUUAUUUAUCUAUUUCCCAUUUGAGGGAAAUUUGACUGUCUCAAAAAUUACAAAUAAAGUUAACUAUAAAGAUUUGCA